AGACCGAAGGGACCAAAGAUUCAUAAAAGGGUUAUUCACUGCAUAAAGGCAAAGAGGAAUCUGAAUAGCUGCCUGGUGCAACUACAAGAUAGAAAAGCACAAACAUGUACAUUAUAUAUAUUAAGCCAUAAGUACCUACAGAUACAUGUAUAUUGAAGGAUAUUAGAUCAAAAUCAGAAGAAUAAAUGUCUAUAAAAGUCAAGAGCCCACUGAUGCUGGAGUCCAUGCUGUAGAAAAGACAUGAAACAGAAGUGAGAAAAUGUCGACAUCAGUCAUCUAUGACUGAAGAUGGAGAUUGUCUCUAUUCUAAAAUUUCCGAGGAAAAUCUUGUUGUGGCUCAUCCAAUGAUCACUCCAUUUGCAGACUACCAGGUUCCAGUCUGAAGUAUACAUAGGAAGAGCAAAAUCUUUCUCAUUCAUAUAAACACUUACUACCUGUGAUCCAGAAGAAUGUCCUGAUUGUUUAGUCCAACAUAAGAUGGAUUUCAAUCUGACACUUUAUUCUGAAAAAUUAAGUGAACAGUCUUCUUAAUGCAGGCAUGUCUUUGUUACAAUAUCUCGACUCUGCAUGGUCAUCAAAACUUUGGACUCUUGUGAAUUAUUCAACCUAUAAAAACAUAAUUUUGUAAGUAAUAAAAGUAUAAUCAAA
Molecule: long non-coding RNA, 648 nt
Organism: Saccostrea cuccullata (small rock oyster)
Lineage: Eukaryota; Metazoa; Mollusca; Bivalvia; Ostreida; Ostreidae
Exons: 4
Source: RefSeq, a predicted model, not a curated record